UCACUGAGAUUGCCUUAGUAAUGGCGAAUGAACCGGCAAGAGCUCAUUGCUGAAGCGUGUUAGAUUCACUUUUAACAUGCAUUGUAGCAUUUGGGGUAACUAUUGUAUGGUGCCUAUUCGUGUGAGUUCCUUUGAUCAGGGCUUUAACCAUAGAAGGUGCUAGUCCUAUAAUCACGAAUAGUUAUGUGCUAUACAUUGUAUACCUUUCGAGUAGCGUAGUUUGAGAUUGCUACGCCAACGUGGGACGUAAACUUGUUCCAAAGCUAAAUAUUAUAACGAGACCGAUAGCGAACAAGUACCGUGAGGGAAAGUUGAAAAGCACUCUGAAGAGAGAGUUAAAUAGUACGUAAAACCGUACAGAAGAAAACGAAUGGCCGCAUUCAUCAGAUUACUUUGAAUUCAAUUCGAUCUCUAUAUGAUGGUGAUACAUGUUGAUUUGGAACUUCAACAGUCCAUUGAUAUGUUAUUGCCUAGAGUCGGAUGCAUUUUCAAAGUAUUAACUGAACCUGGAUCUAUAACAUUGAAAGCUAGUCGAAUCAGUCUAUUUUGGUAGCGAGUAUUACUCGUGUUAAAAAUAUGACUUGCAUAAAUAACAAAUUCGACUUGGCGUUAUAGGUAAACAGACAUGUUUUUUGAUUUCAGUACUUUCGAGUACGGCAUGCCAUGAGCAUUGUUUGUGUCACAUGAGUAACUAAUAUUUAACCAAUAUUAGUUUUAUUCAUUGUUGAUGCUUAAUGUUUUGUGGCUGUCAAUGAAAUUGGCAAGUCUACAGGAGUUUUGAAUGCCGAGUUAUUCGACCCGUCUUGAAACACGGUCUAAGGAGUUCACUGCAUGUGCAAGAGUUCGGCUGUAUGAAAAGCCUUGCUCGUAAUGAAAGUAAAGAACAUUCUUGCAAUGUUUGAAGUGUGAUUUCUGUCAUCUGGUGCAAAUCAUGACAAUGAACGCAACACUGACAGGUUCUAUUGCCGUUGGCAAAGAGCUUAGUAAGAGUAUAUGCAAUGAGACCCGAAAGAUGGUGAACUUAAUGUGUGUAGAAUGAAGCCAGGGGAAACCCUGGUGGAAGUUCGUAGCGGUUCUGACGUGCAAAUCGAUCGUCAAAC
Molecule: ribosomal RNA, 1100 nt
Filed under: Rotaria neptunia
Lineage: Eukaryota; Metazoa; Rotifera; Eurotatoria; Philodinida; Philodinidae
Description: eukaryotic LSU rRNA
Rfam family: Eukaryotic large subunit ribosomal RNA
Source: RNAcentral